CAGACAUUUAGUUUAAUUGGGUUAUAUUGUGGAAUCAGACGUUUUAUCAGAAUUAUUCGAAUAUCUUGUAAAGAAAAGAGGAAAAUUGGAGAUAUAAUUACAAAAAUUGAGGAGUUAUUCACAACUGUGAAGGAAAAGGUUAAACAAGUGUUCCAUGACACUUUUGACAGGAUCCUUAUUUCAGUGGUUAAUUUUUUGGACAAUCUAUCUAAAAGUGUGAGGUCAUAUGCCGAAAAGAGAAAGAAAGAGUGGGAG
This is a long non-coding RNA of Ruditapes philippinarum (Manila clam), 255 nucleotides long. RefSeq lists it as uncharacterized. The transcript has 3 exons. The record is from RefSeq and is a predicted model, not a curated record. NCBI's taxonomy places the organism in Eukaryota, Metazoa, Mollusca, Bivalvia, Venerida, Veneridae.